This 385-nucleotide ribosomal RNA is filed under the name uncultured bacterium. Its description in RNAcentral is "bacterial SSU rRNA". It matches the Rfam family "Bacterial small subunit ribosomal RNA", at positions 30 to 408 of the family's 1533-position model. The record is from RNAcentral.
AUUGAACGCUGGCGGCAUGCCUUACACAUGCAAGUCGAACGGCAGCGCGGAAUGGGGUAACCCGGCCUGGCGGCGAGUGGCGAACGGGUGAGUAAUAUAUCGGAACGUACCCUAGAGUGGGGGAUAACGUAGCGAAAGUUACGCUAAUACCGCAUACGAUCUAAGGAUGAAAGUGGGGGAUCGCAAGACCUCAUGCUCGUGGAGCGGCCGAUAUCUGAUUAGCUAGUUGGUAGGGUAAAGCCUACCAAGGCAUCGAUCAGUAGCUGGUCUGAGAGGACGACCAGCCACACUGGAACUGAGACACGGUCCAGACUCCUACGGGAGGCAGCAGUGGGGAAUUUUGGACAAUGGGCGCAAGCCUGAUCCAGCAAUGCCGCGUGAGUGA